Molecule: long non-coding RNA, 1075 nt
Filed under: Sinocyclocheilus grahami
Lineage: Eukaryota; Metazoa; Chordata; Actinopteri; Cypriniformes; Cyprinidae
Description: lncRNA (ENSSGRG00000034002.1)
Source: RNAcentral
AUGACCUUUUCGAAAUUGUGUGAACAGGAGAAUGAAGAGAAUGGAGAGCCUGAAAUUGAUGAUGAAGAGGAUGAUGAGGUGGAUGAGGAAGAGGAAGAGGAAGGAGAGGGUGAUGAAGAGGACGAGGAUGAAGAUGAUGAUGAGCUAGGUGGAGGAACAAAACGGACUGCUGAAGAUGACGAUGAAGAUGAGGAGGAUGAUGUUGACCCCAAGAAGCAGAAGAAAGAUGAUUAAAGGAUUUUCAUAUUGCUGAGCAGGUGUAGACGCCUCCGCUUUAACCCAAACUGUUGGAGCCAGUGGCAUAAAGGACUCAAAUACAUAAAACAUGGUCAUUUUCAAGUUUGUCCCCCAUGUCAACCAACUUCACCCCCAAUUAAAAGUUUUCUAGAGAACCGACCACAACUCAGAUUUUCAGCGUUCACAACGAAAUACGCAAGACAAGGAUUUGUUUGUAUUUUUAUUUACAUUUUAUAUUUUUGUACAUAUUGUGAAGAGAUCAGCCACUUUAUCAUGAUCUCCUGUGACCAAAACGGUGCUUCUUGAUAGAAAUUUUACUUGUUUGACCAUGUCUUGAUAUUUCAACAUAAAGACAACAUGUAUAAAAUCAACAGUCAUUGAACUCAGAGCAUUCCAGUAAAUUUUAUGUAUGAACUUUAGUUGUACCAUAAACUAGUUUUUGUAUGGGAUGGCUAGGCCAAAGAAAAGGAGUUUUGGUUUCUUUUGACUUGGUUUUGUCUACAUUGUUUUACCUUGGCCUGUUUGUUGUAUGUGUGGAGUUUGUUGUUCAACAAUAAACGUAACUUUUAUUUUGUGAGUUACACCAGUUUUUUUUUUUUGUUUGUUGCAAAAUCCCAUACAUUUGCUGUUCAUUGAGAGACCAAAAUAGGUGUAGUUAGAAAAAUGCAUUGAUAAUGCCUAUCCUUCAAUAGGUGUUGACUCAAAGAGCAUCUGAUGAGCCACCAAUUAAUUCGGUUCAUGAGACACUUCAAUUCUUGAUCAGUUUAAGACUCCUAUGCAUAAUUAAAAUAAACCGAUUUUAUGUGGUCAAACUGCGGAAUGAUUUGUUACACACCGA